This 810-nucleotide ribosomal RNA is filed under the name uncultured Verrucomicrobiota bacterium. RNAcentral describes it as "bacterial SSU rRNA". It matches the Rfam family "Bacterial small subunit ribosomal RNA", at positions 646 to 1456 of the family's 1533-position model. The record is from RNAcentral. Lineage: Bacteria; Pseudomonadati; Verrucomicrobiota.
GGAUCGGAGGGGGACUGGAUCUGUUAGCAGUGAAAUGCGUAGAUAUUCAAGAGGAACACAGUGGCGAAGCGAGUCCCUGGACGAUACCUGACACUGAGGCACGAAAGCCAAGGGAGCAAACAGGAUUAGAUACCCUGGUAGUCUUGGCUGUAAACGGUGCGCAUUUGCUGUAAACGGAUGGCCCUUGGCAACAACUACGCGAUAAAUGCGCCGCCUGGGAAGUACGGUCGCAAGAUUAAAACUCAAAGAAAUUGACGGGGGCCUGCACAAGCGGUGGAGUAUGUGGCUUAAUUCGAUGCAACGCGAAGAACCUUACCUGGCCUUGACAUGCAUGUGGUAGAACCAUGAAAGUGGGACGACCCCGCAAGGGGAGCAUGCACAGGUGCUGCAUGGCUGUCGUCAGCUCGUGUCGUGAGAUGUUGGGUUAAGUCCCGCAACGAGCGCAACCCUUGUGUCCUGUUGCCACUCCUACGAGAGUAGGAAGCACUCUGGACAGACUGCCUCGCUUAAACGAGGAGGAAGGUGGGGAUGACGUCAAGUCAGUAUGGCCCUUACGGGCCAGGGCUGCACACGUACUACAAUGCAUGGCCCCAAAGGGAAGUUGACCGUCCAGGUGGAGCAAAUCCCAUAAAACCAUGCCCAGUUCAGAUUGUCGUCUGCAACUCGACGACAUGAAGCCGGAAUCGCUAGUAAUGGCGCAUCAGCUACGGCGCCGUGAAUACGUUCCCAGGCCUUGUACACACCGCCCGUCACAUCAUGAAAGCCGGUUGUACCCGAAGUCCGCAUUGCCAACCGCAAGGAGGCAGCGGC